GCCGGGAAGAGGAAGAGAGAGUCUCUAAGAGCAUUGGGAAUAUGAUCAUGGAGGAAAGUCUGGAGCUUGAUUUCUCCUCCAGUAUCGGAGGUAGAGAUUUGCUUUAUGUUUUCCCGAUGCCUCCUAUUCCUAUCGAUCUUAGGUACGCCUUCCUCUUGCCACUGGCU
Triticum aestivum (bread wheat) is the source of this 167-nucleotide non-coding RNA. NCBI's taxonomy places the organism in Eukaryota, Viridiplantae, Streptophyta, Magnoliopsida, Poales, Poaceae. The record is from Rfam.